RNAcentral lists this long non-coding RNA (1100 nucleotides) under Apteryx owenii (little spotted kiwi). Its description in RNAcentral is "lncRNA (ENSAOWG00000013667.1)". The record is from RNAcentral. Lineage: Eukaryota; Metazoa; Chordata; Aves; Apterygiformes; Apterygidae.
ACCAGUAUGACUCUGGAAAUGGACAAUAAGCAAGCAGUGACCACAUCUUAUUUUUGGCUAAGGUUCUACCCAGCUUCCUAUGCCAGAAGAAAGACAUGAGGAGGAGCAGAUGCUUCAGCUAGAUGAACUUCAUGGAAGAAGUGAAUUCAUCAAUGAAGCAGCUGAAGAAAACUCAUCAUGUAAUUCUGCUGAAUGGGCUGUGUCUACACUGUAUGAAUCAUUUGAUCUUUUUUGCAAUGAACCAAGAUAAAAGAUGGCAAAUCCAUUGUGACUACUGUAUCCAGUGCAGCAGAUGAAGAAAGCCCAUGAAUGAGGGCAGCUGAAGAGUCAAGAACAAAAGUGAGACAAGGAUUUACUAUCUACUUUGACACUGAGAACUAAAGGAUCAUGUCAUAAAUAACCGGUAUGGAUAAAGAUCUAUGAAACUGAAAACAAUACCAUAAUUUGCUGCUGAAAUAUGGAUUACAUGAGUCUGCUGUCAGAAGCACAUCAGUGGGACAAUAUGCCAGAACAAAUGUUGGUUCAGAACAGUCUCUGAAUGUUUUGUCAUUGACUUUAUCAUAAGGAUCUGUGAAUUUGGAGUGUUCGCAGUUUUAGAAGACUAUGUCUUCAACUCUACCCCCAAUAUCCAGAGUGCAGAACUAAUAAGGGGUGUAUUGCCAUACUUCGUGUCUUCUGGAUUGAACGGUAUUUUUCAACAAAAGUGUUACUUCAGGCAGCCAGGCAUUGGCUGCCUGAAAUUUAAUGGCAAUCUUUCAACCAAAUAGGUAGGUACUACAUAUAGGACGAAGUCUGAUCCCUGAAACAGUCAUCAGUGCUGACUACAUCUUACCAAGGGUGAUAUGCCAAAAGGCAUUACUUUCCUGCAGACAGGAACUGCUAAUGUUAAUUUAUUCACAAAAUUAAAGCCUGCCAGAGUAGGUAGUCUCCUAUGGUCAAUGAAAUACUCAGUUUAAAUGAAAUUAUAUAUAAUAGAAUUAUAUAUAAUUAUCAUUUGAUUGUGGGGAGGUUUGGAGCAAAUGGGUGUUAACACUUAUUCCACUUUUGCCCAUUCUAAAACUAGAGAAUCACUGAAGAAAUAAAUCAAAACUAAAAAUGCA